GGUUAAGUUAAUAAGGGCGCACGGUGGAUGCCUUGGCACUAGGAGCCGACGAAGGACGUGACAAACGACGAUAUGCCUUGGGUAGCUGUAAGUAAGCGAUGAUCCAUGGAUUUCCGAAUGGGGGAACCCAACAGGUAAUACCUGUUACCCACAUCUGUUAAGGAUGUGAGGAGGAAGACGCAGUGAACUGAAACAUCUAAGUAGCUGCAGGAAGAGAAAGCAAAAGCGAUUGCCUUAGUAGCGGCGAGCGAAACGGCAGAAGGGCAAACCGAAGAGUUUACUCUUCGGGGUUGUAGGACUGCAAUGUGGACUCAAAGAUUAUAGAAGAAUGAUUUGGGAAGAUCAGCCAAAGAGAGUAAUAGCCUCGUAUUUAAAAUAGUCUUUGUACCUAGCAGUAUCCUGAGUACGGCGGGACACGUGAAAUCCCGUCGGAAUCUGGGAGGACCAUCUCCCAACCCUAAAUACUCCCUAGUGACCGAUAGUGAACCAGUACCGUGAGGGAAAGGUGAAAAGCACCCCGGGAGGGGAGUGAAAUAGAACCUGAAACCGUGUGCCUACAACAAGUUCGAGCCCGUUAAUGGGUGAGAGCGUGCCUUUUGUAGAAUGAACCGGCGAGUUACGUUAUGAUGCGAGGUUAAGUUGAAGAGACGGAGCCGUAGGGAAACCGAGUCUGAAUAGGGCGCCUUAGUAUCAUGACGUAGACCCGAAACCAUGUGACCUACCCAUGAGCAGGUUGAAGGUGCGGUAAGACGCACUGGAGGACCGAACCAGGGCACGUUGAAAAGUGCUUGGAUGACUUGUGGGUAGCGGAGAAAUUCCAAACGAACUUGGAGAUAGCUGGUUCUCUCCGAAAUAGCUUUAGGGCUAGCGUCGACAUUAGAGAUUCUUGGAGGUAGAGCACUGUUUGGGUGAGGGGUCCAUCCCGGAUUACCAAUCUCAGAUAAACUCCGAAUGCCAAUGAAUUAUGGUCGGCAGUCAGACUGCGAGUGCUAAGAUCCGUAGUCGAAAGGGAAACAGCCCAGACCACCAGCUAAGGUCCCAAAAUAAUUGUUAAGUGGAAAAGGAUGUGGGGUUGCACAGACAACUAGGAUGUUAGCUUAGAAGCAGCUAUUCAUUCAAAGAGUGCGUAAUAGCUCACUAGUCGAGUGACCCUGCGCCGAAAAUGUACCGGGGCUAAAACAAUUUACCGAAGCUGUGGAUACCUUUAUAGGUAUGGUAGGAGAGCGUUCUAUGUGUGAUGAAGGUAUACCGUGAGGAGUGCUGGAACGCAUAGAAGUGAGAAUGCCGGUAUGAGUAGCGAAAGACAGGUGAGAAUCCUGUCCACCGUAAGACUAAGGUUUCCAGGGGAAGGCUCGUCCGCCCUGGGUUAGUCGGGACCUAAGGAGAGACCGAAAGGUGUAUCCGAUGGACAACAGGUUGAUAUUCCUGUACUAGAGUAUGUAGUGAUGGAGGGACGCAGUAGGCUAACUAAAGCAGACGAUUGGAAGAGUCUGUCUAAGCAGUGAGGUGUGAAUUGAGUCAAAUGCUUAAUUCUAUAACAUUGAGCUGUGAUGGGGAGCGAAGUUUAGUAGCGAAGUUAGUGACGUCACACUGCCAAGAAAAGCUUCUAGCGUUUAAACAUACUCUACCCGUACCGCAAACCGACACAGGUAGUCGAGGCGAGUAGCCUCAGGUGAGCGAGAGAACUCUCGUUAAGGAACUCGGCAAAAUGACCCCGUAACUUCGGGAGAAGGGGUGCUGACUUAAAGUCAGCCGCAGUGAAUAGGCCCAAGCAACUGUUUAUCAAAAACACAGCUCUCUGCUAAAUCGUAAGAUGAUGUAUAGGGGGUGACGCCUGCCCGGUGCUGGAAGGUUAAGAGGAGUGCUUAGCGUAAGCGAAGGUAUGAAUUGAAGCCCCAGUAAACGGCGGCCGUAACUAUAACGGUCCUAAGGUAGCGAAAUUCCUUGUCGGGUAAGUUCCGACCCGCACGAAAGGCGUAAUGAUUUGGGCACUGUCUCAACGAGAGACUCGGUGAAAUUUUAGUACCUGUGAAGAUGCAGGUUACCCGCGACAGGACGGAAAGACCCCAUGGAGCUUUACUGCAGUUUGAUAUUGAGUGUCUGUACCACAUGUACAGGAUAGGUAGGAGUCUAAGAGAUCGGGACGCCAGUUUCGAAGGAGACGCUGUUGGGAUACUACCCUUGUGUUAUGGCCACUCUAACCCAGAUAGGUGAUCCCUAUCGGAGACAGUGUC
This 2234-nucleotide ribosomal RNA is filed under the name Streptococcus pneumoniae PNI0360. RNAcentral describes it as "bacterial LSU rRNA". It matches the Rfam family "Bacterial large subunit ribosomal RNA", at positions 1 to 2258 of the family's 2925-position model. Lineage: Bacteria; Bacillati; Bacillota; Bacilli; Lactobacillales; Streptococcaceae. The record is from RNAcentral.